UACUUUUACGUCCAUAUUUUACCGACUUUUCUUCCCGCCACUUCGUCGUCCAUCACCUUCGAUACCCUCCCCCCGUCCUACUACCCUCCUGUCGCCGAAAACCUUCAGUCGGCGCGGCACGUCUUCUCUUAUCACUGCAAUUGCUUCACUCUCAAGGACAUACGUGACCAAUGGCACCCCUUCUCUUGACCCACUUUCGACCUCGUCAGCGUUCUCUCCUUUCUACCCUUUUUACUGCCACUUUUUUGGGUGCCGUCAUCGUCGUCGCUUUCCCAUGUCCGGCGCGUGCUUCUGGUGAAACUCGAUUAGAAUCUCCCGGUCCUACGACUGUUCGAGCAUCAGAGGGUAGAAGAGAGGUUGUACUUUUGAUGAAUGAGCGAGGGAAAAGGCGUUUCAUGGAGGAGAGAUGAUUGAAGGAUGUGAUGACUCGCUUUCCAUAAAACGCCAAUCAACUGGCUUCUUGCGUUUUCGGCGGUUGUAACACCAUUCUGAAGCUAGGUUGUAUACGUAUUUGUAGUUACAUGACAUCUCAAAAUUAUAUUGCCCCCCACACCUAUCGAUCAAAAAGCAUCAGACGUAAUCCGGGUUUCCUCAUUUGAAAAUUCGCCCUGAGGCCUUCUUAGUCACGAAAUGCAUUCCAUUCGACAAAUAUUUCUUACCAGCUUCCGAUUUCUUCGGCGAUUAAUUAUCGAAUUCAAUAAAGCGCCUCUACUUAACAGCCUUCUCUGGCUUUGUUCCUUCUUUUUUGCGGCGCGUUGACAGUAAGACUUACUCGCAUACUAAUAGGUGCGCGUCGCAGACUGGAUCAUCAGUCCCAGCUUUUCGAACCUGCUCUAUGAAACUUACGUCACCGUCGAUAACAAUCAAAUUGGCGGGAUUUUGCGCCUCUCCUGCAAAAUAACGCCCAAUGAUGCCUUUGGCGCCUCCAGCAUAUCGGGUCUGUGCGUCGAGAGUUGUGCCCGAGUCUGCCGCUCUAGUCAGCUCUCGCACACUCAUAUAUCAUUUCAGGUAAUGACGUACAAUGGGGAACCAUGCCAUUACCUCCGCCGAGAGGAUCGGCCAUGUGCUUCCAAGGGCUGGAGUGGUCGCUGAUAAGCUUGGCUACCUGAAGGGCAUUAGCCUAUUUUACUCACUCGGAUCUGACACUCGCGGUCACACAAAGCUUAAGCUUUGGGGAUUUCUCGAUAAGAUCUCCGGUGAGUUAGCCAGGGUGGAAAGAGAUAAUGAUAAGAGUUUUCGUCUGAAAAGACUCGCAAUCAGCUUUGCUUCGUAAUGUGAGAAAUAUAGCGGUAACAUGGGUGUACAUCGGGAGGAUGUUUUUGAAAUCGGACGCUGGGCCCUCCUUGUCAUCAGUUACCAUAAAUCUUGCAAAACAUGUCUGGAAUUAACAUGGAUAAGGUGCUUUUUUUAUGGGCCGGGUGAAGAAGCUCACUCGUGCCCUUCUUUUUUGAGCCAGUUUUUGAUGCCAAAUCUGUUUUUCCACAGUGCCGAGAAGACGAUUUCCCUUUUCAACAGCUGUCAUCGAACAUUGUCAGUCAUUUCAUUUUCCGACAGAAAAGCAUGUGAAUAUACUCUUGCCGCCCGAAUAGAGAAUUGCGAGAAUCUAGAGCCAUAAGUACAGGUGGUUGUAACCUUGGUAUAGUCGUUGUCGUUGUCACUUACUUUGACCAUCUUGUCGAGUGAGUAACGCAACCGACACAGGUUCUUGAUAAGCUGAACCGUUCAAGACACAUGGUUUCCUUUCAUUUGAAAGAGUAAAGAGAAUUGAUAUCAGAUAUCAUAUACUAGGUGAUUUAUCUCUUA
This 1803-nucleotide small RNA is filed under the name Cryptococcus neoformans H99. Its description in RNAcentral is "Cryptococcus neoformans var. grubii H99 hypothetical RNA". Lineage: Eukaryota; Fungi; Basidiomycota; Tremellomycetes; Tremellales; Cryptococcaceae. The record is from RNAcentral.